GUAGGGAAUAUUGCACAAUGGAGGAAACUCUGAUGCAGCGACGCCGCGUGAGUGAUGAAGGCCUUCGGGUCGUAAAACUCUGUGAUAAGGGAAGAUGAUGACGGUACCUUAUCAGAAAAGACCGGCUAACUUCGUGCCAGCAGCCGCGGUAAUACGAGGGGUCUAAGCGUUGUUCGGAAUCGCUGGGCGUAAAGCGGGUGUAGGUGGCUAUGCAAGUUGGAUGUGAAAGCCCCGGGCUCAACCCGGGAAGUGCAUCCAAAACUACGUAGCUUGAGUGCGGGAGAGAAAGGCAGAAUUCCUGGUGUAGUGGUGAAAUACGUAGAUAUCAGGAGGAACUCCGGUGGCGAAGGCGGCCUUUUGGCCCAGCACUGACACUCAGACCCGAAAGCGUGGGUAGCAAACAGGAUUAGAAACCCGAGUAGUCC
This 425-nucleotide ribosomal RNA is filed under the name uncultured bacterium. Its description in RNAcentral is "partial 16S ribosomal RNA". It matches the Rfam family "Bacterial small subunit ribosomal RNA", at positions 354 to 796 of the family's 1533-position model. The record is from RNAcentral.